Molecule: non-coding RNA, 123 nt
Organism: Gossypium raimondii (Peruvian cotton)
Lineage: Eukaryota; Viridiplantae; Streptophyta; Magnoliopsida; Malvales; Malvaceae
Source: Rfam
UAUUAAAAAGUUCAGCCAUUUCAAUUGCUAAAAACUAGCGUGGUUAACGGAAUAACCAAACAAUACCUCAUGUUGACAUAUAAGACCAGUUUUUAACAGUAGAAACGGAUGAAGUUUUCAACA